This 306-nucleotide long non-coding RNA is filed under the name Nicotiana benthamiana. Its description in RNAcentral is "long non-coding RNA (NBEN_LNC016862)". Lineage: Eukaryota; Viridiplantae; Streptophyta; Magnoliopsida; Solanales; Solanaceae. The record is from RNAcentral.
ACAAAACACUCAAACACAACACAGUUCUCAGAAUUCUAUCUCACAUUUGCAAUACAUAAUCACCCCUGUCUUUCACUACUUUCUCUACUACUACUCUCUCUACUACUACCUUCUCUACUGCUGCUGAGCACUCUGCUCCCUUCUCUCCUACUGUCUGAGUAUUUCUAGAGUCCCUCUGAACUCCCAAGUACUUGUUGAAGUUCUAAGUUGCUCCUGUUAACUCUUUCUGGUUGUUUAUUUGCUGUUGUUUCUCUGUUGUACUAGAACUGAAGGCUGGUAUGUACUCCUGAGUUAAAUAACACUCUC